RNAcentral lists this ribosomal RNA (464 nucleotides) under uncultured bacterium. RNAcentral describes it as "partial 16S ribosomal RNA". It matches the Rfam family "Bacterial small subunit ribosomal RNA", at positions 339 to 795 of the family's 1533-position model. The record is from RNAcentral.
CUACGGGGCGCACCAGUGAGGAAUUUUGCGCAAUGGGGGAAACCCUGACGCAGCAACGCCGCGUGAGCGAAGAAGGCCCUCGGGUCGUAAAGCUCUGUCAAGUGGGAAAAAAAUUUUUUGAUCAAUAGUCAAAAGACUUGAUGGUACCACUGGAGGAAGCACCGGCUAACUCCGUGCCAGCAGCCGCGGUAAUACGGAGGGUGCGAGCGUUGUUCGGAUUUACUGGGCGUAAAGAGCGUGUAGGCGGUUUAGCAAGUCAGAUGUGAAAGCCCUGGGCUCAACCCGGGAAGUGCAUUUGAAACUGCUUCACUAGAGUAUGGGAGAGGAGAUUGGAAUUCCUGGUGUAGAGGUGAAAUUCGUAGAUAUCAGGAGGAACACCCGUGGCGAAGGCGAUUCUCUGGACCAAUACUGACGCUGAGACGCGAAAGCGUGGGGAGCAAACAGGAUUAGAUACCCGGGUAGUC